GCCGAGAUGUGGUGAUCCGCUGCUUAAUAGUGUACUUCUCCGAAAGUGUAGAUGAUCUUAUUAAGGAUUACCAUGGUGCUCCAUCUGAUGAAGUAAAAGAGGAUCUUGCACAGCAUACAAUCAAAAUUGUCACCAAAGGUGGUUCUACGGAGGAUGACCCGUUGGAUGUUGGGAUUGUGCUGGAAGGCAGAGAAGUACUGUCUGGGUUGUCCAGUGUAGCAAGGGUGUGUGCCUUGUUACUAGGUCUGAUCUAUGCUGUGAACCUUAGUUACCCCAAACAACUCAGGUACACGUUUGAAUUUUGUCAAAAGAU
Molecule: long non-coding RNA, 313 nt
Organism: Astyanax mexicanus (Mexican tetra)
Lineage: Eukaryota; Metazoa; Chordata; Actinopteri; Characiformes; Acestrorhamphidae
Exons: 2
Source: RefSeq, a predicted model, not a curated record